RNAcentral lists this ribosomal RNA (410 nucleotides) under Enterococcus cecorum. Its description in RNAcentral is "bacterial SSU rRNA". It matches the Rfam family "Bacterial small subunit ribosomal RNA", at positions 967 to 1378 of the family's 1533-position model. Lineage: Bacteria; Bacillati; Bacillota; Bacilli; Lactobacillales; Enterococcaceae. The record is from RNAcentral.
AACCUUACCAGGUCUUGACAUCCUUUGACCAUCCUAGAGAUAGGAUUUUCCCUUCGGGGACAAAGUGACAGGUGGUGCAUGGUUGUCGUCAGCUCGUGUCGUGAGAUGUUGGGUUAAGUCCCGCAACGAGCGCAACCCUUAUUGUUAGUUGCCAUCAUUYAGUUGGGCACUCUAGCGAGACUGCCGCAGACAAUGCGGAGGAAGGUGGGGAUGACGUCAAAUCAUCAUGCCCCUUAUGACCUGGGCUACACACGUGCUACAAUGGAGAGUACAACGAGUCGCAAAGCCGCGAGGCUAAGCCAAUCUCUUAAAGCUCUUCUCAGUUCGGAUUGUAGGCUGCAACUCGCCUACAUGAAGCCGGAAUCGCUAGUAAUCGCGGAUCAGCACGCCGCGGUGAAUACGUUCCCGGG